CCUACGGGGGACAGCAGUGAGGAAUAUUGGUCAAUGGACGCAAGUCUGAACCAGCCAUGCCGCGUGCAGGAAGACGGCUCUAUGAGUUGUAAACUGCUUUUGUACGAGGGUAAACGCAGAUACGCGUAUCUGUCUGAAAGUAUCGUACGAAUAAGGAUCGGCUAACUCCGUGCCAGCAGCCGCGGUAAUACGGAGGAUUCAAGCGUUAUCCGGAUUUAUUGGGUUUAAAGGGUGCGUAGGCGGUCGGAUAAGUUAGAGGUGAAAUCCCGGGGCUCAACUUCGGAAUUGCCUCUGAUACUGUUCGGCUAGAGAGUAGUUGCGGUAGGCGGAAUGUAUGGUGUAGCGGUGAAAUGCUUAGAGAUCAUACAGAACACCGAUUGCGAAGGCAGCUUACCAAACUAUAUCUGACGUUGAGGCACGAAAGCGUGGGUAGCAAACAGGAUUAGAUACCCGGGUAGUC
RNAcentral lists this ribosomal RNA (460 nucleotides) under uncultured bacterium. RNAcentral's name for it is "partial 16S ribosomal RNA". It matches the Rfam family "Bacterial small subunit ribosomal RNA", at positions 338 to 795 of the family's 1533-position model. The record is from RNAcentral.